RNAcentral lists this long non-coding RNA (1224 nucleotides) under Calidris pygmaea (Spoon-billed sandpiper). RNAcentral describes it as "lncRNA (ENSCPGG00000004668.1)". Lineage: Eukaryota; Metazoa; Chordata; Aves; Charadriiformes; Scolopacidae. The record is from RNAcentral.
AAAUACUUCAGAAGGAAUUUACCUGUCAGUAUUGAUUGCACACACAAAAAGCAGAAAAAGCUUUCUGUAUACUGUUGGCUUCCCAGAGGAGGGGAAGAGACUAGGUGUGCUCAGAGCUGCUUCUGUGUGGCCACUGGAACCUGGAUAAUUGCGGGCCAUCAUGAGAGAGUCUUUCGGACCCCGCAGAAACCUGGGCUGCUUUUGAAGAGGGCAGUCCCCCCCGUGCCCUCAGCCUGUGCUGCCGCUCGUGCUGUAGUGUUCUGGAUGCUGUGCAUGAAGGCUUCAAUAACAGCCUUCUUCUGUGUAUUAUCUUUUUUUCCACAGGUCUUCUGGAAAAGAGAAAGAUUUCUGCGUGAGCACUACACUGGAGCCCAGGUAUUUACAGAGAUGUUAACCGCUGAUGCAGCACUGAUCUCCAUGGAUCUUCCACCAGGUGAGCCCGAAAGCAACAGGAACAAUUUGGGGAGAGACUGAACAACUUCAGUCAGGCCCAAAGCAGGACGGUAAUGCAGCCUGAAGCUUUGCAUGGGACACUUGGGAGCCCAAAUAUGAUGGAGAAGAAGCCAGGCAGUGUUCUGAAGGAUCUCAAGCAGGUGCAUAUUCAAGGAGACACUGUUGGCUGUUCUGCAGGAAGGGAAAGGUUUGCAUCACUUAAAUAUAUUUUAUUUUUUUUUUCAGAAAGUUGCCUGCUCUAACUAGGGUAAAUACUGUGCAAAUUAGGAAGCCGCUGUUAGGUCUAUCAUGACGCAUCUCUGCUCUAGUUUGACAAUUUUUUUGUCUGAGAAAAUUAGCCCAUUUCCUACCUGUGUUUUAUGCUCUUAUUGCCAUUGUUCAUUUUAGAAUGCCAAGUAAUUAAAAUACGGUGGCUUAAUGCUGAUUUAUACUCUGGUUUUUCAUGGAAGCAAAGCUAUCUGUAAUAAUAGAAACUUACAGAAAAUAUCUCUAUUAUGGACCAUGCUUCUGACAUAAUUGGAAAUUUUUUUCCCACCUCAGUACAAUCUGUGUUCCUAGCAUGCCUGUGUUACAGGGGGGUUCGCCCACGUAAUUAUUUCUUAAAAGUAGAAAGAUGCCUUAUUAAAAAAAAAAAAAGUAAUUUAGAACUUUUGAAACUUGAGUUUUACAUGUAUAAAGAAAAUAAUUUGGUCCUUUGGUCAAAUCUCUAGUAUUUUAAGGGUGACAUCUUUCCGAAAUGUUGAUUAUUAAGAGAACCCCCAGUGAAACUAC